This 25-nucleotide non-coding RNA is filed under the name Cricetulus griseus (Chinese hamster). The record is from RNAcentral. Lineage: Eukaryota; Metazoa; Chordata; Mammalia; Rodentia; Cricetidae.
AACAGAUGUAGGUUUUGAUCACAGA